Callorhinus ursinus (northern fur seal) is the source of this 1038-nucleotide long non-coding RNA. RefSeq lists it as uncharacterized. Lineage: Eukaryota; Metazoa; Chordata; Mammalia; Carnivora; Otariidae. The record is from RefSeq and is a predicted model, not a curated record.
CUGCGGGGCCAAAGAUGGGUGAAGUGCAGGCGGUGAGAAAAACAGCUCCUCAGGCCCGGCCACCCUUAGACAGCGCGCUCUUUCUCCAACAGUUCUGCGAUCACUAUUCUUGCCUGGCCCCAGCACCCAACAGAAGUGAGAAGGGGAGACUGGCCAGCCACUGGGCACCCUGUUUAUUUAAUGGUGCUUCACGCUGAUUGGAAAGUUUGACCUUGAUCAGCUCAUGGCAGGAACCACCAAAAAUUGUGCUUUUGCAAGAACACAGUGCCAGCCUUUCUAAGAGAAAAGGAAUAAGGGUCAAAAUGGUUUGGUGUUGUGCUAGAACUGUGAUGGAACUUCAGAGCCAAGUCCGGGGCUGCCAAGGGUGAAGAGUGAUCGCAACAACGGAACUGCUGCCAUUAGGAGGCACCCUCCCGUCUGCAGCUUGCUCUUAGCCCAGUAUAAAAUGGAGAAGGGUCUGCUCUUUCUCACGCUUGCCUCCAAGGAUAGUUAACCCACUGGGUGGAGGGAGGGAGAACCUCAUCUAUGGGAACAUCCACGGAGGCUUUCCUCAAGUUCAAAUUCCCAUAAAAUUUUAAUGGCAAAUGUUCCCGUUAUUAAGUUGGGUCAUAAGUCGUCGUCCUGCUCUUACUGCUGACAGUACCCCUGUCACUGCUACCAAUGGUGAAGGUUUUCAGAUGCCUGACUCAAUAUCUUUGAGCGCAGCUUCGUAGUAGAUUCACGGUCUGUCGAGAACAUGGUGGCGCUUCGGAGAGCGCUCUGAUACGGGAGCGUGCAUGACAAGUGAAAAUGAAAGCUUUCAUUGCUUACAGCGCUCGGCACCACAGAAGUCACUUUUUCAUUGGUACUCUAAAUAUUUAAAAUAAUUAAAUCUAAAUGAUCACUGUAUUUAGUUAAAGUUGUGUAUUCUAACUACAACCUGGUAGGAACUUAGUACCGACUUGCUCUAGGACAUGCUGUACAUGGCUUGCCUCAAAUUGAUUUUUUAAUAAAACUCAUAGAUGUGUUUGAAUCGGCACCCAUUCUUUCAGGUUCCUG